AAGUUGAAUUGGCAACAGGAGGGAGGCUGGUGCAGGACUUCCCUGGUGGCACAGAGGAUAAGAACCCGCCUGCCAAUGCAGGAGACACAGGUACAAUUCCUGGUCCAGGAAGAUCCCACGUACCUCAGAGCAACUAAGCCCACGGACCACCACUGGGGACCCUGCGCUCUAGGACCCAUGAGCCACAACGAAUGAGCCUCUGUGCCCCCAGGCUCCAACAGUACCUGAACCGUGAACUUCCAGAUGUUCAGGCUGGAUUUAGAAAGGGCAGAGAAACCAGAGAUCAAAUGGCCAACAUCUGUUGGAUCAUAAAAAAAGCAAGAGUUCCAGAAAAACAUCUAUUUCUGCUUUAUUGACUACGCCAAAGCCUUUGACUGUGUGAAUCACAAAAAACCGUGGAAAAUUCUGAAAGAGAUGGGAAUACCAGACCACCUUACCUGCCUCCUGAGAAAUCUGUAUGCAGGUCAAGAAGCAACAGUUAGAACUGGACAUGGAAAAAGAGACUAUUUUCAAAUCAGGAAAGGAUGGUCCAGUGAUGAAGAAUCGCCUGUCGGUGCAGGGGACGUAGACUCAAUCCCUGGUCCAGGAAGAUUCCAGAAGCUAUGGAGCAACUACAUCCAUAGGCCACAACUGCUGAAGCCCAUGUGCCCUAGAACCAGUGUUCCACAAGAAGGGAAGCCAGCACAAUGAGAAGCCCAUGUACCUCAACUAGAGAGUAGCCCCUGCUCACCACAACUGGAGAAAGCCUACGUGCAGCAACGAAGACAC
This is a long non-coding RNA of Bos taurus (domestic cattle), 768 nucleotides long. NCBI's taxonomy places the organism in Eukaryota, Metazoa, Chordata, Mammalia, Artiodactyla, Bovidae. The record is from Ensembl.